This 338-nucleotide unclassified non-coding RNA is filed under the name soil metagenome. Its description in RNAcentral is "partial contains 5.8S ribosomal RNA, internal transcribed spacer 2, and large subunit ribosomal RNA". The stretch from base 1 to 120 matches the Rfam family "5.8S ribosomal RNA", at positions 35 to 154 of the family's 154-position model. The record is from RNAcentral.
GAUGAAGAACGCAGCGAAAUGCGAUACGUAAUGUGAAUUGCAGAUUUCAGUGAAUCAUCGAAUCUUUGAACGCACAUUGCGCCCGCCAGCAUUCUGGCGGGCAUGCCUGUUCGAGCGUCAUUUCAACCCUCAAGCUCUGCUUGGUGUUGGGGCCCUACGGUUGACGUAGGCCCUUAAAGGUAGUGGCGGACCCUCUCGGAGCCUCCUUUGCGUAGUAACUAACGUCUCGCAUUGGGAUUCGGAGGGACUCUUGCCGUAAAACCCCCAAAUUUUCUAAUGGUUGACCUCGGAUCAGGUAGGAAUACCCGCUGAACUUAAGCAUAUCAAUAAGCGGAGGA